RNAcentral lists this ribosomal RNA (510 nucleotides) under Caridina gracilipes. RNAcentral describes it as "partial 16S ribosomal RNA". It matches the Rfam family "Bacterial large subunit ribosomal RNA", at positions 1829 to 2594 of the family's 2925-position model. The record is from RNAcentral. Lineage: Eukaryota; Metazoa; Arthropoda; Malacostraca; Decapoda; Atyidae.
UCUGUGCGAUAGGGUUGAUGCGCAGUCUGGCCUGCCCCCUGAGAGUUUUAAAGGGCCGCGGUAUUUGGACCGUGCUAAGGUAGCAUAAUAAAUAGUCUCUUAAUUGGAGUCUGGAAUGAAUGGUCGGACAUGAAGCAAGCUGUUUUAACUUUUAUUUUUGAAUUUUACUUUUAAGUGAAAAGGCUUAAAUUAUAUGGUGGGACGAUAAGACCCUAUAAAGCUUUACGCUUUAUUCUUCAGUUGUGGGAGUUCAGGUUUCUCGUUCUUAUUGAGUAGAGCGUUUCGUUGGGGCGACGGGAAUAUAAAUAAGUAACUGUUUUUACUUGAAAAAUAUAUUUUUAUAGGUGAGUUGAUCCUUUCUAGAGAUUAUAAGAUUUAAGUUACUUUAGGGAUAACAGCGUAAUUUAUCUUGAGAGUUCAUAUCGACAGAUGUAGUUGCGACCUCGAUGUUGAAUUAAAAUGUCCUAAGAUGUAGCAGUUUUAGCGGUAGGUCUGUUCGACCUUUAAAAU